RNAcentral lists this ribosomal RNA (458 nucleotides) under uncultured bacterium. RNAcentral's name for it is "partial 16S ribosomal RNA". It matches the Rfam family "Bacterial small subunit ribosomal RNA", at positions 338 to 795 of the family's 1533-position model. The record is from RNAcentral.
CCUACGGGAGGCAGCAGUGAGGAAUAUUGGUCAAUGGGCGAGAGCCUGAACCAACCAAGUCGCGUGAGGGAGUACUGCCCUAUGGGUUGUAAACCUCUUUUGUCGGGGAGCAAAAGCCGGACGUGUCCGGCUGUGAGAGUACCCGAAGAAAAAGCAUCGGCUAACUCCGUGCCAGCAGCCGCGGUAAUACGGAGGAUGCGAGCGUUAUCCGGAUUUAUUGGGGUUAAAGGGUGCGCAGGCGGAUUUUUAAGUCAGCGGUCAAAUCGUGGGGCUCAACCCCAUCCAGCCGUUGAAACUGGGGAUCUAGAGUGUGCGAGAGGUAUGCGGAAUGCGUGGUGUAGCGGUGAAAUGCAUAGAUAUCACGCAGAACCCCGAUUGCGAAGGCAGCAUACCGGUGCACAACUGACGCUCAGGCACGAAAGCGUGGGUAUCGAACAGGAUUAGAUACCCCAGUAGUC